GAUGAACGCUAGCUACAGGCUUAACACAUGCAAGUCGAGGGGCAGCGGUAUCGAAAGCUUGCUUUCGGUAGCCGGCGACCGGCGCACGGGUGAGUAACGCGUAUCGAACCUGCCUCAUACUCGGGAAUAGCCUUGCGAAAGUAAGAUUAAUGCCCGGUGUUUUCAGAGUCCCGCAUGAGGCUUUGAACAAAGAUUUAUCGGUAUGAGAUGGCGAUGCGUCCCAUUAGCUUGUUGGCGGGGUAACGGCCCACCAAGGCAUCGAUGGGUAGGGGUUCUGAGAGGAAGGUCCCCCACAUUGGAACUGAGACACGGUCCAAACUCCUACGGGAGGCAGCAGUGAGGAAUAUUGGUCAAUGGGCGGAAGCCUGAACCAGCCAAGUAGCGUGCAGGAAGACGGCCCUCCGGGUUGUAAACUGCUUUUAGUUGGGGAUAAAACGGGGCUCGUGAGCCCCCUUGCAUGUACCAUCAGAAAAAGGACCGGCUAAUUCCGUG
Molecule: ribosomal RNA, 492 nt
Filed under: uncultured bacterium
Lineage: Bacteria
Description: partial 16S ribosomal RNA
Rfam family: Bacterial small subunit ribosomal RNA
Source: RNAcentral